GGUUUGAUCAUGGCUCAGAUUGAACGCUGGCAGGAUGGCUUUUACACAUGCAAGUCGAACGGCAGCACGGACUUCGGUCUGGUGGCGAGUGGCGAACGGGUGAAAGAUGUAUCGGAACGUGCCUAGUAGCGGGGGCUAACUACGCGAAAGCGUAGCUAACCACGCGCAGCCCUUCGGGGAAAGCGGGGGACCUUCGGGCCUCGCACUAUUAGAGCGGCCGAUAUCGGAUUAGCUAGUUGGUGGGGGUAACGGCUCACCAAGGCGACGAUCCGUAGCUGGUUUGAGAGGACGACCAACCACACUGGGACUGAGACACGGCCCAGACUCCUACGGGAGGCAGCAGUGGGGAAUUUUGGACAAUGGGAAAACCACAGUCAACCAUCCCGCGUGUGCGAUGAAGGCCUUCGGGUUGUAAAGCACUUUUGGCAGGAAAAGAAACGGCACGGGAUAAUACCCCGUGCAACUGACGAGCGCACUGCCAGAAUAAGCACCGGCUAACUACGUGCCAGCAGCCGCGGUAAUACGUAGGGUGCAAGCGUUAAUCCGGAAUUACUGGGCGUAGCGUGCGCAGGCGGUUCGGAAAGAAAGAUAGCAAUCCCAGAGCUUAACUUUGGAACUUGCAUUUACAACACCGAGCUAGAGUGUCAGAGAGUGGAAUUCCGCGUGCUUGGCAGUGAAAUGCGUAGAUAUGCGGAGGAACACCGAUGGCGAGAGGCAGCCUCCUGGGAUAACACCUGACGCUCAUGCACGAAAGCGUGGGGAGCAAACAGGAUUAGAUACCCUGGUAGUCCACGCCCUAAACGAUGUCAACUAACUGUUGGGGCCUUCGGGCCUUGGUAGCGCAGCUAACGCGUGAGUUGACCGCCUGGGGGUACGGUCGCCAAGAUUAAAACUCAAAGGAAUUGACAGGGACCCGCACAAGCGGUGGAUGAUGUGGAUUAAUUCGAUGCAACGCGAAAAACCUUACCUACCCUUGACAUGUCUGGAAUCCCGAAGAGAUUUGGGAGUGCUCGCAAAGAGAACCGGAACACAGGUGCUGCAUGGCUGUCGUCAGCACUCGUGUCGUGAAGAUGUUGGGUUAAGUCCCGCAACGAGCGCAGCCCUUGUCAUUAGUUGCUGCGAAAGGGCACUCUAAUGAGACUGCCGGUGACAAACCGGAGGAAGGUGGGAUGACGUCAAGUCCUCAUGGCCCUUGGGUAGACUUCACGUCAUACAAUGGUCGGGACAGAGGGUCAUGGCCAACCCGCGGGAGCCAAUCCCAGAAACUUGAUCGUAGUCCGGAUCGCAGUCUGCAGCUCGAAACUUGCGUGAAGUCUGGAAUCGCUAGUAAUCGCGGAUCAGCAUGUCGCGGUGAAUACGUUCCCGGGUCCUACACACCACUUCCGUCACACCAUGGGAGUAGGUUUUACCAGAAGUAGUUAACCUAACCGUAAGGAGGCGAUUACCACGGUAGGAUUCAUGACUGGGGUGAAGAUGUAACAAGGUAAUAUUAC
Molecule: ribosomal RNA, 1493 nt
Filed under: uncultured Bordetella sp.
Lineage: Bacteria; Pseudomonadati; Pseudomonadota; Betaproteobacteria; Burkholderiales; Alcaligenaceae
Description: partial 16S-23S ribosomal RNA intergenic spacer
Rfam family: Bacterial small subunit ribosomal RNA
Source: RNAcentral